This 481-nucleotide ribosomal RNA is filed under the name uncultured bacterium. RNAcentral describes it as "bacterial SSU rRNA". It matches the Rfam family "Bacterial small subunit ribosomal RNA", at positions 501 to 985 of the family's 1533-position model. The record is from RNAcentral.
CUACGUGCCAGCAGCCGCGGUAAUACGGAAGGUCCGGGCGUUAUCCGGAUUUAUUGGGUUUAAAGGGAGCGUAGGCCGGAGAUUAAGUGUGUUGUGAAAUGUAGACGCUCAACGUCUGACUUGCAGCGCAUACUGGUUUCCUUGAGUACGCGCAACGUUGGCGGAAUUCGUCGUGUAGCGGUGAAAUGCUUAGAUAUGACGAAGAACUCCGAUUGCGAAGGCAGCUGACGGGAGCGCAACUGACGCUUAAGCUCGAAGGUGCGGGUAUCGAACAGGAUUAGAUACCCUGGUAGUCCGCACAGUAAACGAUGGAUGCCCGCUGUUGGUACCUGGUAUCAGCGGCUAAGCGAAAGCAUUAAGCAUCCCACCUGGGGAGUACGCCGGCAACGGUGAAACUCAAAGGAAUUGACGGGGGCCCGCACAAGCGGAGGAACAUGUGGUUUAAUUCGAUGAUACGCGAGGAACCUUACCCGGGCUUGAA